RNAcentral lists this ribosomal RNA (810 nucleotides) under Triticum aestivum (bread wheat). RNAcentral describes it as "partial small subunit ribosomal RNA". Lineage: Eukaryota; Viridiplantae; Streptophyta; Magnoliopsida; Poales; Poaceae. The record is from RNAcentral.
AUGGCUAAUCUUGCUGCCAGUGGCAGUGGAACUAGCUCAAGCUCCGUUCGUAACAGAGCCGUCUCUGAAGAUCACAAGGAGGAAAUGCAUAGUCCUGACUACGAAGAGCUUUUUAAGGGGUUGACUGAUUAUGCUGUGGAAGUGGAAGGCAUUGAAAUCGGCAACAGUUUACUUGUCGACGAGCACGACACCAAGGAUGGCAACGAGGUUGGCAUUGGCAUAGAUGCAGACAGCCUACCACCAGGCACAUAUGAACUCUUGCAGCUGGAGGAGGACGAGAUCCUGGCUCCGCACACCCACUUCUGCGCCAUCUGUGGCAAGGGCUUCAAGAGGGACGCGAACCUGCGGAUGCACAUGCACGGGCACGGCGACGAGUACAAGAGCCCUGCCGCGCUGGCCAAACCGCCUAGGGACGAGAGCUUGGACCACGCUGCCAUUGUGAAGAGGUACUCGUGCCCGGUCGCCGGGUGCAAGAGGAACAGGCUGCACAAGGGCUUCCUGCCCCUCAAGACGAUCCUGUGCGUCAAGAACCACUACAAGCGAAGCCACUGCGUGAAGAACUACACCUGCAGCCGGUGCCACGCCAAGAAAUUCUCUGUCAUGGCCGACCUCAAGACGCAUGAGAAGCACUGCGGCCAGGUCAGGUGGGUGUGCUCCUGCGGCACGACCUUCACGAGGAAGGACAAGCUGUUCACUCAUGUGGGUCUGUUCAAAGGCCACACACUGCUGUUGCCGGCAGACGAGCCUGAGGCUCACACCAGGUGGCUCACGCAGGAAGCCAUCAAGAACCAGCCAAGGGUAGUAGCUUGA